AGAGCGUAUGGUGGAUGCCUUGGCACUAAGAGCCGAUGAAAGACGUGAUAAGCUGCGAAAAGCUUCGGGGAGGAGCAAAUAUCCAUUGAUCCGGAGAUAUCUGAAUGGGGAAACCUACUUGAGAAAACCUCAAGUAUCCACAGCCCAAUCCAUAAGCUGUGGAAGGGAACCCGGUGAACUGAAACAUCUAAGUAGCCGGAGGAAGAGAAAACAACAUGUGAUUCCGUAAGUAGCGGCGAGCGAACGCGGAAGAGCCCAAACCGGAGUGCGUGCACUCCGGGGUUCGGACUGCAGGAUUGACGAGUGAGCCUAGUAGAAUGGUUUUGGGAAAGCCAGCCAGAGAGGGUGAAAGCCCCGUACACGAAAGGCAAGCGAGCAUGGCAGGAUCCAGAGUACCACGAGACACGUGAAACCUUGUGGGAAUGAGCGGGGACCACCCCGUAAGGCUAAAUACUCCUUAGUGACCGAUAGCGCAUAGUACUGUGAAGGAAAGGUGAAAAGGACCCCGGGAGGGGAGUGAAAGAGAACCUGAAACCAUAUGUUUACAAGCUGUGGAACAUCUUUAUAUGAUGAACCGCGUACUUUUUGUAGAACGGUCCGGCGAGUUACGCUGGCUGGCGAGGUUAAGGGCUGAAGGCCUGGAGCCGAAGGGAAACCGAGUCUGAACAGGGCGAAAUAGUCAGUCGGAGUAGACCCGAAACCGGGUGAUCUAUCCAUGUCCAGGUUGAAGUUGCCGUAAAAGGCAAUGGAGGACCGAACCCACAUCCGUUGAAAAGGGUGGGGAUGAGGUGUGGAUAGGGGAGAAAUUCCAAUCGAACCCGGAGAUAGCUGGUUCUCCUCGAAAUAGCUUUAGGGCUAGCCUCAUGCAAGUCUUACGGAGGUAGAGCACUGAAUUCCUAAGGGGGCGUCAAAGCUUACCAAGGGAUAUCAAACUCCGAAUGCCGUGUAGAUGGUGCAUGGGAGUCAGACUAUCCGAGAUAAGUUGGGUAGUCAAAAGGGAAAGAGCCCAGACCUACAGCUAAGGUCCCAAAAUGUGUGUUAAGUGGAAAAGGAUGUGGGAUUUCGAAGACAACUAGGAUGUUGGCUUAGAAGCAGCCAUCCAUUAAAAGAGUGCGUAAUAGCUCACUAGUCGAGAGGUCCUGCGCCGAAAAUGUCCGGGGCUGAAACACACUACCGAAGCUUAGGAAUUGACGAAUGUUAAUUGGUAGAGGAGCAUUCUUAACGGGGCGAAGCUGUACCGGAAGGAGCAGUGGACUGUUAAGAAGAGAGAAUGCCGGAAUGAGUAGCGAGAGGAAGGUGAGAAUCCUUCCGGCCGAAUAUCUAAGGUUUCCAGAGUAAAGCUGAUCUGCUCUGGGUAAGUCGGGGCCUAAGGCGAGGUCGAAAGACGUAGUCGAUGGAUAACAGGUAAAGAUUCCUGUACUAUAUCAUAACAGAACUGUGGGGACGCAGACAGAGAGCAUAAGCCGGGAAUGGAAAGACCGGUACAAGCGAGGUAGGAGUGCAUCAGGCAAAUCCGGUGCACAAUCUGAAGACGUGAUGUGGGGCGUAAAGCCGGAAGUAUGUGAGCUGGCUGCCAAGAAAAGCCGCUAUUGUUUAUGAUAUACCCGUACCGUAAACCGACACAGGUGGAUGAGGAGAGAAUCCUAAGGCCGACGGGAGAAGCAUUGUUAAGGAACUCGGCAAAAUGACUCCGUAACUUCGGGAGAAGGAGUGCCAUGUAAAAGUGGCCGCAGAGAAUUGGCCCAAGCAACUGUUUAGCAAAAACACAGGUCUAUGCAAAACCGAAAGGUGAGGUAUAUGGGCUGACGCCUGCCCGGUGCUGGAAGGUUAAGGGGAGAGGUUAGUCGUAAGGCGAAGCUUUGAACUUAAGCCCCAGUAAACGGCGGCCGUAACUAUAACGGUCCUAAGGUAGCGAAAUUCCUUGUCGGGUAAGUUCCGACCCGCACGAAAGGCGUAAUGAUUUGGGCACUGUCUCAACAAUGCACCCGGUGAAAUUGAAAUACCAGUGAAGAUGCUGGUUACCUGCGCCAGGACGGAAAGACCCCAUGGAGCUUUACUCCAGCUUGAUACUGGGAUUCGAUAUUGCAUGUACAGGAUAGGUGGGAGACUGAGAACUGAUGACGCCAGUUGUCAGGGAGUCACUGUUGGGAUACCACCCUUGUAGUAUUGGAUUUCUAACCAGCAGCCGUGAACCGGCUGGGGGACAAUGUCAGGUGGGGAGUUUGACUGGGGCGGUCGCCUCCGAAAGGGUAUCGGAGGCGCUCAAAGGUUCCCUCAGAAUGGUUGGAAACCAUUCGAAGAGUGCAAAGGCAGAAGGGAGCUUGACUGCGACACCGACGGGUGGAGCAGGUACGAAAGUAGGACUUAGUGAUCCGGUGGUAUAAAGUGGGAUUGCCAUCGCUCAACGGAUAAAAGCUACCCUGGGGAUAACAGGCUUAUCACUCCCAAGAGUUCACAUCGACGGAGUGGUUUGGCACCUCGAUGUCGGCUCAUCGCAUCCUGGGGCUGAAGUAGGUCCCAAGGGUUGGGCUGUUCGCCCAUUAAAGCGGUACGCGAGCUGGGUUCAGAACGUCGUGAGACAGUUCGGUCCCUAUCCGGCGUGGGCGUAGGAUAUUUGAGAGGAGCUGCCCUUAGUACGAGAGGACCGGGGUGGACUGGCCGCUGGUGGAUCUGUUGUAUUACCAAAUGCAUAGCAGAGUAGCCAAGCCGGGACGGGAUAAACGCUGAAGGCAUCUAAGCGUGAAGCCCCCCUCAAGAUGAGAUAUCCCAUAACGUCAAGUUAGUAAGACCCCUUGA
RNAcentral lists this ribosomal RNA (2796 nucleotides) under mixed sample. RNAcentral describes it as "bacterial LSU rRNA". It matches the Rfam family "Bacterial large subunit ribosomal RNA". The record is from RNAcentral.